AGUUCAGACUCGCGGCACCGAGCUCAGUAACACGUGGCCAAACUACCCUACAGAGACGGAUACCCUCGGGAAACUGAGGUUAACCCGUCAUACCGAUCUCAGGCUUGAAUCGCAGAGAUCACAAAACGCCCCGGCGCUGUAGGAUGUGGCUGCGGUUGAUUAGGUAGACGGUGAGGUAACGGCUCACCGUGCCAAUAAUCGGUACGGGUCAUGAUAGCGAGAACCCGGAGACGGAAUCUGAGACAAGAUUCCGGGCCCUACGGGGCGCAGCAGGCGCGAAACCUUUACACUGCACGCCAGUGCGAUAGGGGGACACCGAGUGCGUAGGCAUAUAGCCUACGCUUUCGUGUACCGUAGGGUGGUACACGAAUAAGGGCUGGGCAAGACCGGUGCCAGCCGCCGCGGUAACACCGGCAGCCCGAGUGAUGGCCGAUAUUAUUGGGCCUAAAGCGUCCGUAGCUGGCCGCGUAGGUCCGUCGGGAAAUCUACUGGCUUAACCAAUAGGCGUCCGGCGGAAACCGCGUGGCUUGGGACCGGAAGACCUGAAGGGUACGUCUGGGGUAGGAGUGAAAUCCCGUUAGCCUGGACCGGACCAACGGUGGCGAAAGCGCCUCAGGAAGACGGAUC
This 627-nucleotide ribosomal RNA is filed under the name uncultured archaeon. RNAcentral describes it as "bacterial SSU rRNA". It matches the Rfam family "Archaeal small subunit ribosomal RNA", at positions 66 to 691 of the family's 1478-position model. The record is from RNAcentral.